GUGGCUUGAUUGUAUGGAAUGACUCCUCUUCUGAAUGAAUGAGAAUGAUCUGAAAACUUGGGGUCUGGCCCUCCUUAUAUAGCCUAGUGGAAUGAUUCGUAGCCAUUAGAUCAAACUAACUUAAUGGAUGAAGAUUAUUAAUCCUUAGAGGUGAUUUAGUCCAUGAUCCAUGCCCUUUGCCAUGAUUGGCUAAGGGGGGUCGAGUGCCCUGGGCCCCAGGGUGGGCGCCCUAGCCCUAUGCUAGAUGGGCACCCCCGCCUUGGCCAGGGGUCUUCUCGACUCUUCUAGACUCUUGUGCUUCAUACAUGGUGUUGAUAUAUCAUUUCUCUCUAUGUAAUCAUGACAUGUGGGCCUCUCUUGGUCAUUUCCUGAUCACACCCUACAGAAAUAGAUAUUUACCAAAACCUAUGGAAUUCUGUCAGAUAAAACCUUAUUCUAUUGUUGGUGAUUGUUUUAUGCCUUUCUUCCAUUCUCUUAUUGAUAUAAAAAUGAUACUUAUCUACCAUCAACAAGCUCCCCCAAUCUUACCCUUUUGCUCAUCCUUGAGCAAAGACAAACUCAGUGAUGAUUCAGGAGUUGUUCUAAUGCUUUCAUUCCUUAAGAGUACACAUGCAUUCAAACAAGAACUCUCCACCAAAUUAGAGUGAACGGUAAUGACUUAAACUUACCCAUAUUACCUUCCACCAUAGAGCUUCUAGCCAUCACUUGGCCUUGAGUAGUUGAAGGAUAGAAUGGUCAAGUCAAGCACUAUGUCUCAAGUUCAUUGAUCAACUUUCAUUCCGAAGUUUUUUGCAGGAUUUUCAAAUAAAACUCAGAGAUUCCUUUGUAUGACCCUCUCAAGUCUCUUAUUUGUGGUAUUUUUGGAUCCUCUCCAAGGCACUAAUGAUGUAUGCCUUCUCUCUUCUCUCAAAGUAUGUGGUAUUUUUGGCAUAGACAUAGUCUGAUGCCAUCUCUCUCUCACCCUACAUCUAUGUGGCUUAUGUGGGGCUCAUAGGUAGGGAGAGAGCACAUACAUACUUGUAAACAUAUAUAUUGUAAAGUAAAACAAUGGAUCCAAAGGAACAAGUCAUACAAUCAAAUCAAGAUGUGUGUGGCAUGUGGUGGAAUGUAGUGGAUGAUGGCAAAUGGAUAUGGAAUGGGUGUAUAGUGGUGAUGGCGAAAUCCUAAUUCUACUUUUGCUCCUCGAAAACACACCUACCUUUAUUGGAAGUUUUGGGGAGAGUUUGGGUUGCUCUAACUUUUCUCUCUUUUUAUUUCUUUCUUUCUUUUUCUCUCUUUUUUUGUUGGGACAUUUGUCCUCUUUCUCUUUUUUCUUUUGGAGAGCACCCAAACCUAUUUUGGAUAAUUUGAUGGGAGGUGGUAACAAGAAACAAUUGGAUCUUUAUUAAAUGGCAAGGAGUAAAAUGGGUGGAAUAUUUUUUAUGUUCACUUCUAGUGUAAGAGUAGAACAAUUUUGUGUGGAUCUAGAUAGAGUGAAUAUGGAUGCAUACUUCUAGUGUAGAGCAACAUAAGUGGGUGGAGUGUACGUGAUCUUGAUUUUAAAUGCAUGACUAGUUCCUAAGGGUCAACAAAACUUAACUCUACUCAAUGCUCAUAAGCAGUAAAUAAUAGUGAAGUGUUUUCCUAGUCUACAAGGCAUGGAAGUCUAGCUAUGGUAGGAAUUCAAGCUCUCGUCAUAUAGGAACUCAUCAUGCAGUAUUUUUAUGUUUUUCAAAAGAUAAAUUCUCAAGAACUCUAGCAUCUCUAGGAACAAAAUGAAUAGUAGCUCAAAACAUUUCCAUAUCAUAUCAGUCAACUACCUAGACUUAAGCUCAAGCAUUGCAACCCACAAGUUUCAGGCUCAGAGUAAAUCUUGAAUCAAAAUAGUAGUGUCUAAAACUUGGGAGAAUUCAAGGUUGAAAACUAAGUACUCAAAAAGAAUUAUAGCAGAGCAACUAUUCAUCAUUUCCAUGUGAGUCUAGUCUAUGAUUUGGUUUUUAGCAAAUGAACCCUUGUAUCUUCUCCUUUUAUUUAUUUAAAUAUUUAGCAAACUCUAAGAUCACACAAAAAUAUUUGUAUAAGGGGAAAUCUUUAUUUGGGUUUUGUAAGUGCAAUCAAGCCCUAGUGGGUUUUGGUGCUAAUGACCACACAAUUAGAGGACUAAUGAGAUUUGUUGAGAUGACAAGCAGGUAAAAUAAGAAUGAGGAUAACACAUGAGAUGUGAGAUGGAAAAAGCCCAAUUUACCAAAUGUGUUGGUCCAUUGAUGGAGUUGAACGAAAGCAUUCGGUGAAUUAUAGCACCCCAAGUUUUCAAUAGAUGAACGGCGUUUCAACUCAAGUGGCUACAAAGCUUUUAUCUUUUGUUGAGUUUUAGGAAACGCCGCACUAUCAAGGGGGAUGCAAAUUAAGUUGGUAAGAUGAGGAUAGGGGUGCUCAAGUCAAUUUACUUAAUGCGCAUGAGAGACACACUUGCACGCACGAACAUCUAGGAAAUUUCUUCUCUGCCAGGGUGACCCGGUAGUACC
This 2504-nucleotide long non-coding RNA is filed under the name Sorghum bicolor (sorghum). RNAcentral's name for it is "long non-coding RNA (SBIC_LNC014669)". The record is from RNAcentral. Lineage: Eukaryota; Viridiplantae; Streptophyta; Magnoliopsida; Poales; Poaceae.